AUGGCGUCCGAGGCGCUCGUCGUUCUCGCGCGCGUCCGCAGCGGCGGGAAAACGCCCAGCCUCUCCCCGCUCGCGACGCUGCUGCGCCUGCUGUUCGGCGAGGGCAACGUCCAGGCCGCGUGGAAGGUGUUCGUGGAAAUGACCGCGAUGGGGCCACGGUCGAGCCUCGCUGUCUUCAACGUCAUGGUCCUACGGUUAUGCCGCAGGGGCUCCGGGCUCUUCCCUGUAGCUGCGGGAUUGCUCGGUGUCAUGUGGAGGUUCCAUGUUAUCCCUGAUGCGUGCAGCUAUGACAUCCUGAUCAAGAAUUACUGCGUGUUUGGGCGGGCAGGGGAUGCUUUCCAGUUGUUUGACAAAAUGCACAGGGCAGGGGAUACUUUCCGGUUGUUUGACAAAAUGCAUAAGCCAGGGUGCGAGCCUGCUGUUGUGACGUAUAACAUUUUGUUGAAUGUAUGA
RNAcentral lists this ribosomal RNA (453 nucleotides) under Triticum aestivum (bread wheat). RNAcentral describes it as "partial small subunit ribosomal RNA". Lineage: Eukaryota; Viridiplantae; Streptophyta; Magnoliopsida; Poales; Poaceae. The record is from RNAcentral.